RNAcentral lists this RNase P RNA (354 nucleotides) under Sulfurirhabdus autotrophica. RNAcentral's name for it is "Bacterial RNase P class A". It matches the Rfam family "Bacterial RNase P class A". Rfam says of the family: Ribonuclease P (RNase P) is a ubiquitous endoribonuclease, found in archaea, bacteria and eukarya as well as chloroplasts and mitochondria. The record is from Rfam by way of RNAcentral. Lineage: Bacteria; Pseudomonadati; Pseudomonadota; Betaproteobacteria; Nitrosomonadales; Sulfuricellaceae.
GAAGCUGGCUAGGCAGUCGCUGCGUGGGCAACCACGGAGAGGAAAGUCCGGGCUCCGUAGAGCAGGAUGCCGGUUAAUGGCCGGAGGUCGUGAGACCAUGGAAAGUGCCACAGAAAAUAUACCGCCGAUGGCCGCGUAAGCGGAUCAGGUAAGGUUGAAAUGGUGAGGUAAGAGCUCACCGCGCUUCCGGUAACGGGAGUGGCAGGGUAAACCCCAUCCGGAGCAAGACCAAAUAGGGGAACAUUAGGCGUGGCUCGCGCUGUUCCCGGGUAGGUUGCUUGAGCGUACGGGUAACCGUGCGCCUAGAGGAAUGACUGUCCACGACAAAACCCGGCUUAUCGGCCAGCUUCUUUU